GUUCGGAUUUGAAUGUUGACUCUUGAUGUUAUACCUCAGUUACAAACAGGCACUCACUCACUGUAUGUAUACUCUCUCACUGACCUCGGCAGCGCUAGACAAAACACGCCUUCCCUCCUCUCGAACUAUAGCCAGUGUGCGGGGCGUUCUCGAGCGCACUGAAGGGAAGAACAUUGCCACGAGCUCACCGUGCACUGCUGCUCUCGCGCUCACACUAGAAAACUAUGGAAACUUGCAACUUGAAGAAAGCGGUGCGUGCACUCCUGCGGGUCUGUCUGUCGAGUGCUUGCAUUCUGCACGCUUGUCUAGGUGGAAGUUUAUACGUCAGAGAUAUCUCAGACGAGGAAACAACUACAGACACGUACGGCGACUACAACAACACCAUUGAGUAUGAAUAUUAUGAUAAUUCUUCAUUUUAUGACUAUCAGGACUUCGUGGUGAUAGGCAUUGACUCAGCACACAGGCCUGUCUUGCCCUGGUAUCUACUAGGGAUCUGCGUGUUGGUUUUCCAGACUCUCUGCGCACUGUGAACCAGGUAUCCAAGCUGCUUCAGAGCAUCACUGAAACAAGCUAAAUAAAGUUACAGAAAUCAUUACGGGAUCAUUUUGGGAUGCAGGGAGAAUUUACUGCAGCUUUCACACACUGAACUGCGUCACUUUGUAAUAGUUUGAGUUCCAUGCAUAUGAGAGCAAUGCCACUUCAUGGGAAAUCUCAGGUAUUGCCACAGCAAGCCAUUCAAAUGAUUUUCUGUCAAACAGUGGAAACAUCUUCUUGGUCUCCUUGUUAAAACACGCAGUAAACGAUGAAGGAUCUUCAUGAAACUCUGCACACUCGCAGGGAUUCAGGUGAAUUCGGGAUGCAAUUUGAACUAUUUCAGGACCAAGCAUUUUUCAGUGGGAUGCUCCCCCAGGACCAGGCAUUUUUCAGUGGGAUGCUCCCCCAGGACCAGGCAUUUUUCAGUGGGAUGCUCCCCCAGGACCAGGCAUUUUUUGUUAUAAAAAUUUACUAAAAAAAAAAAUCCAUUUUUUACAGUAGCAUCUUGGAAAUGGUUUCCUUUUUUCAGAACACUCUGGGGAACAUUAUAAAGUACUUCAGGAACCAUACACACUUUUUGCUUUUUUCAUAUAUAUAUAUAUAUAUAUAUAUAUAUAUAUAUAUAUAUAUAUAUAUAUAUAUAUAUAUAUAUAUAUAGUGCCUAUAGAAAGUCUACACCCCCUUUCAACAAAAUGUUCACCAUUUGUUGCCUUAAAAUGCAUUAAUAUAUCUUUUUUCUUCAUUUAUCUACACAUCCUACCCCACAACUUCCAAGUGAAAAAAAUAUUCUGGAAAUUUGUAGAUAAUUAAUUAAAAAUAAAAACUGAAAUAGCUUGGUUCGAUAAGUGUUCAUCCCCCUUGUAAUAGCAAUCCUAAAUUAGCUCAGGUGUAACCAAUCGCCUUCAAAAUCACACACCAAGUUAAGUGGCCUCCACCUGUGUUAAAUUGUAGUGAUUCACAUGAAUUCAGGAUAAAUUCAGCAGUUCCUGUAGGUUCCCUCUGCUGGGUAGUGCACUUCAAAGCAAAGACUCAACCAUGAGCACCAAGGCACUUUCAAAAGAACUCCGGGACAAAGUUGUUGAAAGGCACAGAUCAGGGGAUGGGUAUAAAAAAUAUCAAAGGCCUUGAAUAUCCCUUGGAGCACGGUCAAGACGAUUAUUAAGAAGUGGAAGGUGUAUGGCACCACCAAGACCCUGCCUAGAUCAGACCGUCCCUCCAAACUGAAUGACCGAGCAAGAAGGAGACUGAUCAGAGAGGCUACCAAGAGGCCAGUGGCAACUUUGCAAGAGCUACAGGCUUUUAUGGCCAAGACUGGUCAAAGUGUGCAUGUGACAACAAUAUCCCAAGCACUCCACAAAUCUGGCCUGUAUGGUAGAGUGACAAGAAGGAAGCCAUUUACUCAAGAAAGCCCACUUUGAAUCCUGUUUGAAGUAUGCAAAAAAACACUCAGGAGAUUCUGUAGCCAUGUGGCAAAAAGUUUUGUGGUCUGACAAAACUAAAAUUGAACUUUUUGGCUUAAAUACAAAGCGUUAUGUUCGGCUCAAACCCAAAACAGCACAUCACCCAAAGAAAACCAUCCCUACUGUGAAACGUGGUGGUGGCUGCAUCAUGUUAUGGGGAUAUUUCUCAUCGGCAGGGACUGGGGCACUUGGAUAGAAGGGAAAAUGAAUGGAGCAAAGUACAGAGAAGUCCUUGAAGAAAACCUGCUGCCCUCUGCAAGAAAGCUGAAACUGGGACAGAAGUUCCCCUUUCAGCAUGACAACGACCCAAAGCACACAGCCAAAUCUACACUGGAGUGGCUAAGGAACAAAAAGGUAAAUGUCCCUGAGUGGCCCAGUCAGAGCCCCGACCUAAACUCAAUCGAAAAUUUGUGGCAUGAUUUGAAGAUUGCUGUCCAUCAGCGCUUCGACAGCGCUUGAACAGUUUUGUAAAGAAGAAUGGUCAAAUAUUGCCAAAUCUAGGUGUGCAAAGUUAGUAGAGACCUAUCCCAACAGACUCGCAACUGUAAUUGCUGCCAAAGGUGCUUCCACCAAGUAUUAACUCAGGGGGGUGGAGACUUAUCCAGUUAUGAUCUUUCAGUUUUGUAUUUUUAAUAUAUCAUUUUUUUCUCAAUAAAAGCUUGUUUCCUCUUAACAGUGUGGAGUAUGGUGUGUAGAUAAGUGGAAAAAAAUCCUCAUUUAAAUGCAUGAAACUCUGAGGCACUGACACAACAAAAUGUGAAAAAAGUUCAAGGGGGUGUAGACUUUCUAUAGGUACUGUGUAUAUACAUAUAUAUAUAUAUAUAUAUUUAUAUAUAUAUAUAUAUAUAUAUAUAUAUAUAUAUAUAUAUAUAUAUAUAGUGAAAGCUGUCUUACUGACAUCAAGGUAUGGAUGUCUAAUAAUUUCCUUAUGUUAUCCUUCUUAUCGCCUAUAAAGCCCUAAACGGUUUGGCCCUGGCCUGUUUGAAGGCUCUUUUGGUCCCGUAUGCCCCUGGCUGGCCCCCUGCUCCCAAGAUGCAGGGCUGCUAUCUGUCCCAAGGAUUUUAAAGCACAGGACAGGUGGUAGAGCAUUCAGUCACAGGGCACCUGAACUCUGGAAUGCUCUACCAUGCACAGUGAGAGACCCACCUACACUGGCAUUUUUUAAAAAGAAAUUAAAAACAUACUUUUAUAAUAGGGCUUUUAUAUCUUUAUAAUAUUUCUUUUUUUAUAUAUAGUUGUAUUCCUAUUUAUUCGGUUUGAGUUCCUUAUCUGUAGCUUUAAUUUGCUUGAAUUUUAAAAUGUUGUUUUCUCUUGCUGUUUUUAUUGUUUAUAUUGUUGUUAUUGUACUAAAUGUUCUUCUGAAUGUCUUUUCUUUUUGUUAAAAGCGCUUUGGGAUGGGUUGCCAUGAAAGGCACUUUAUAAAUAAAAUUUGAUCUAUAUAUAUAUAUAUAUAUAUAUAUACACUGAACAAACAUAUAAACGCAAAAUGUAAAGUGUUGGUCUCAUGUUUCAUGAGCUGAAAUAAAAGAUCCCAGAAAUGUUCCAUAUGCACAAAAAGCUUAUUUCUCUCAAAUUUUGUGCACAAAUUUGUUUACAUCCCUGUUAGUGAGCAUUUCUCCUUUGCCAAGAUAAUCCAUCCACCUGACAGGUGUGGCAUAUCAAGAAGCUGAUUAAACAGCAUGAUCAUUACACAGGUGCACCUUGUGCUGGGGACAAUAAAAGGCCACUAAAAAAUGUGCAGUUUUGUCACACAACACAAUGCCACAGAUGUCUCAAGUUUUGAGGGAGCGUGCAAUUGGCAUGCUGACUGCAGGAAUGCCCACCAGAGCUGUUGCCAGAGAAUUGAAUGUUCAUUUCUCUACCAUAAGACGCCUCCUACGUCGUUUUAGAGAAUUUGGCAGUACGUCAAACCGGCCUCACAACCGCAGACCACGUGUAACCACGCCAGCCCAGGACCUCCACAUCCGGCUUCUUCACCUGCGGGAUCGUCUGAGACCAGCCACUCAGACAGCUGAUGAAACUGUGGGUUUGCACAACCGAAGAAUUUCUGCACAAACUGUCAGAAACCGUCUCAGGGAAGCUCAUCUGCGUGCUCGUCGUCCUCACCAGGGUCUUGACCUGACUGCAGUUCAGCGUCGUAACCGACUUCAGUGGGCAAAUGCUCACCUUCGAUUGCCACUGGCAGGCUGGAGAAGUGUGCUCCUCACGGAUGAAUCCCAGUUUCAACUGUACCGGGCAGAUGGCAGACAGCGUGUAUGACGUCGUGUGGGCGAGCGGUUUGCUGAUGUCAACGUUGUGAACAGAGUGCCCCAUGGUGGCGGUGGGGUUAUGGUAUGGGCAGGCAUAAGCUACGGACAACAAACACAAUUGCAUUUUAUCGAUGGCAAUUUGAAUGCACACAGAUACCGUGAUGAAAUCCUGAGGCCCAUUGUCGUGCCAUUCAUCCACCGCCAUCACCUCAUGUUUCAGCAUGAUAAUGCACGGCCCCAUGUCGCAAGGAUCUGUACACAAUUCCAGGAAGCUGAAAAUGUCCCAGUUCUUCCAUGGCCUGCAUACUCACCAGACAUGUCACCCAUUGAGCAUGUUUGGGAUGCUCUGGAUCGACGUGUACGACAGCGUGUUCCAGUUCCUGCCAAUAUCCAGCAACUUCGCACAGCCAUGGAAGAGGAGUGGGACAACAUUCCACAGGCCACAAUCAACAGCCUGAUCAACUCUAUGCGAAGGAGAUGUGUCGCGCUGCAUGAGGCAAAUGGUGGUCACACCAGAUACUGACUGGUUUUCUGAUCCACGCCCCUACCUUUUUUUUUAAGGUAUCUGUGACCAACAGAUGCAUAUCUGUAUUCCCAGUCAUGUGAAAUCCAUUGAUUAGGGCCUAAUGAAUUUAUUUCAAUUGACUGAUUUCCUUAAAUGAACUGUAACUCAGUAAAAUCUUUGAAAUUGUUGCAUGUUGCGUUUAUA
Molecule: long non-coding RNA, 4952 nt
Organism: Acipenser ruthenus (sterlet)
Lineage: Eukaryota; Metazoa; Chordata; Actinopteri; Acipenseriformes; Acipenseridae
Exons: 5
Source: RefSeq, a predicted model, not a curated record